Molecule: ribosomal RNA, 497 nt
Filed under: uncultured bacterium
Lineage: Bacteria
Description: partial 16S ribosomal RNA
Rfam family: Bacterial small subunit ribosomal RNA
Source: RNAcentral
GAUGAACGCUGGCGGCGUGCCUAAUACAUGCAAGUCGAGCGCACGGACGAGAAGCUUGCUUCUCUGAUGUUAGCUGCGGACGGGUGAGUAACACGUGGAUAACCUACCUAUAAGACUGGGAUAACUACGGGAAACCGGAGCUAAUACCGCAUAAUAUUUUGAACCGCAUGGCUCAUAAGUGAAAGACGCUCUUGCUGUCACUCAUAGAUGAAUCCGCGCUGCAUUAGCUAGUUGGUAAGGUAACGGCUUACCAAGGCAACGAAGCAUAGCCGACCUGAAGGGGGGAUCGGCCACACGGGAACUGGGACACGGUCCAGACUCCUACGGGAGGCAGCAGUAGGGAAUCUUCCGAAAUGGGCGAAAGCCUGACGGAGCAACGCCGCGUGAGGGAUGAGGGUCUUCGGAUCGUAAAACUCUGUUAAUAGGGAAGAACAUAUGUGUAAUUAACUGUGCACAUCUUGACGGUACCUUAUCAGAAAGCCACGGCUAACUACGUG